Molecule: ribosomal RNA, 1033 nt
Filed under: Arthrobacter sp.
Lineage: Bacteria; Bacillati; Actinomycetota; Actinomycetes; Micrococcales; Micrococcaceae
Description: bacterial SSU rRNA
Rfam family: Bacterial small subunit ribosomal RNA
Source: RNAcentral
UCUUGUUGGGGAGGUAAAGGCUCACCAAGGGGCACGACCGGAUACCCGGCCUUAGAGGGAGACCGCCCACAAUGGGAUUGACACACGGCCCCAGAUUCCUACGGGAGGCAGCAGUGGGGAAUAUUGCACAAUGGGCGAAAGCCUGAUGCAGCGACCCCGCGUGAGGGAUGACGGCCUUCGGUUUGUAAACCUCUUUCAGUAGGGAACAAGGCCAGCAUUUUUGUUGGUUGAGGGUACUUGCAAAAGAAGCCCCGGCUAAUUACGUGCCAGCAGCCGCGGUAAUACGUAGGGCGCAAGCGUUAUCCGGAAUUAUUGGGCGUAAAGAGCUCGUAGGCGGUUUGUCGCGUCUGCCGUGAAAGUCCGGGGCUCAACCCCAGAUCUGCGGUGGGUACGGGCAGACUAGAGUGAUGUAGGGGAGACUGGAAUUCCUGGUGUAGCGGUGAAAUGCGCAGAUAUCAGGAGGAACACCGAUGGCGAAGGCAGGUCUCUGGGCAUUAACUGACGCUGAGGAGCGAAAGCAUGGGGAGCGAACAGGAUUAGAUACCCUGGUAGUCCAUGCCGUAAACGUUGGGCACUAGGUGUGGGGGACAUUCCACGUUUUCCGCGCCGUAGCUAACGCAUUAAGUGCCCCGCCUGGGGAGUACGGCCGCAAGGCUAAAACUCAAAGGAAUUGACGGGGGCCCGCACAAGCGGCGGAGCAUGCGGAUUAAUUCGAUGCAACGCGAAGAACCUUACCAAGGCUUGACAUGAACCGGAAAGGCCUGGAAACAGGUCCCCCGCUUGCGGUCGGUUUACAGGUGGUGCAUGGUUGUCGUCAGCUCGUGUCGUGAGAUGUUGGGUUAAGUCCCGCAACGAGCGCAACCCUCGUUCUAUGUUGCCAGCACGUGAUGGUGGGGACUCAUAGGAGACUGCCGGGGUCAACUCGGAGGAAGGUGAGGACGACGUCAAAUCAUCAUGCCCCUUAUGUCUUGGGCUUCACGCAUGCUACAAUGGCCGGUACAAUGGGUUGCGAUACUGUGAGGUGGAGCUAAUC